CACCACAACAAAAAUGAUUUUUAGUGGUGACUUUUUGGUGGCGACAGGCAUUGAAUGUGAAUAAUAUGGUGGCGACAUUUAUUUGUCGCCGCCAAUGCAUAGAAAUGGCGGCGACAUAUAAGAGUCGCCAUCGAUAUGGAAAUGCAUGAAGUGAGUGCAGUGUGUGAGAGGAAGUGUUGUGAGGUGUAGUGAAGUAAUGAAGUGAGUGUGUGAGGCUUGUAGUAUUUUGGGUGUAUGUAUUAGUGAGUGUGUGAGUUAAAAUAAUUUAUAUGUAAGAGUUAUUUUAUCUGUAAUAAAAAGAGUUUUAUUAUUAGUUUGGUACGUCAAUAUUCUACAAUUUGGCAUCAAAGCCAGAUUGUAGGAAAUAUUCUGCUAGUUAAGCCGGUGAUAUUUUGCCAGUCCAGCCAGUUAAAUACUGAUAUAAGCAGAUAUUCUGCUAGUGCACAGUCUGGGACUGUGAAGUUGGUUGGUUUGGGACCAGACUUACUUGGUUGACUGCUGGGCAAUCACCAAGUCACUAUGGCAGAUCUUGCUGGUACAACUAGCGGAAUU
Molecule: long non-coding RNA, 552 nt
Filed under: Ananas comosus (pineapple)
Lineage: Eukaryota; Viridiplantae; Streptophyta; Magnoliopsida; Poales; Bromeliaceae
Description: long non-coding RNA (ACOM_LNC024743)
Source: RNAcentral